AGCGAACGCUGGCGGCAUGCCUAACACAUGCAAGUCGAACGAGACCUUCGGGUCUAGUGGCGCACGGGUGCGUAACGCGUGGGAAUCUGCCCUUGGGUUCGGAAUAACUCAGAGAAAUUUGAGCUAAUACCGGAUGAUGACGUAAGUCCAAAGAUUUAUCGCCCAAGGAUGAGCCCGCGUAGGAUUAGCUAGUUGGUGAGGUAAAGGCUCACCAAGGCGACGAUCCAGUCUGGUCUGAGAGGAUGGCCAGCCACAUUGGGACUGAGACACGGCCCAAACUCCUACGGGAGGCAGCAGUGGGGAAGUCUUGCGCAAUGGGCGAAAGCCUGACGCAGCCAUGCCGCGUGGAUGAUGAAGGUCUUAGGAUUGUAAAAUCCUUUCACGGGGACGAUAAUGACGGUACCCGGAGAAGAAGCCCC
RNAcentral lists this ribosomal RNA (419 nucleotides) under uncultured bacterium. RNAcentral's name for it is "bacterial SSU rRNA". It matches the Rfam family "Bacterial small subunit ribosomal RNA", at positions 29 to 494 of the family's 1533-position model. The record is from RNAcentral.